RNAcentral lists this Y RNA (102 nucleotides) under Propithecus coquereli (Coquerel's sifaka). Its description in RNAcentral is "Y RNA (ENSPCOG00000006979.1)". It matches the Rfam family "Y RNA". Rfam says of the family: Y RNAs are components of the Ro ribonucleoprotein particle (Ro RNP), in association with Ro60 and La proteins. The Y RNAs and Ro60 and La proteins are well conserved, but the function of the Ro RNP is not known. In humans the RNA component can be one of four small RNAs -- hY1, hY3, hY4 and hY5. Lineage: Eukaryota; Metazoa; Chordata; Mammalia; Primates; Indriidae. The record is from Rfam by way of RNAcentral.
AGCUGCUCUGAGUGCAGUGGUGUUUACGAGUAAUUGAUCACAACCAGUUACAGAUUUCUUUGUUCCUUCCCCACUCCCACUGUCUCACUUAAAUACCCAAAA